Molecule: long non-coding RNA, 690 nt
Organism: Stylophora pistillata
Lineage: Eukaryota; Metazoa; Cnidaria; Anthozoa; Scleractinia; Pocilloporidae
Source: RefSeq, a predicted model, not a curated record
AACUAAACUAAAACUAAUUCAAUUAUCCAUUUUAGGGACUGGAAAAGGAGGUAAAAGCAUUUGGGGCAAAAAGUUUGCCGAUGAGCUGAGUCCAUCACUGCGGCAUAAUGCAAGAGGAACUGUAUCUAUGGCAAAUAGUGGACAAGAUACAAAUGGAUCACAGUUUUUUAUCUGUUAUGGCAAACAACCUCAUCUUGAUAUGAAAUAAACAGUAUUUGGAAAGGUAAUUGAUGGUUUAGAGACCCUUGAUGAUCUAGAGAAACUCCCAGUAAAUGAGAAGACCUACCGUCCACUUACUGAGGUGCGAAUAAAGAAUGUGACCAUCCAUGCAAACCCCAUUGCAGAUAAGAGUGGAUAACUCCAUGAAGCAGGAAAGUUAAGCAUGUCCUUACUUACUGCUUAUUACUGACCAAGGGCAACAAUGUGUGUUAUCAGACAAGCAAAUGCGGAAGGAACAGCUUCACAAUCAAACAUCUCAAGAUGCAUCAGGAAACAAUCCCAAGAGAUUGUGUCAAGAAAGCAUUAUUUAAUUUGGGACAAAUUUUGUAUAAAACGUUUUUCUAUGCCUUUACAGUAGAGUUCUUAAACCUUCCAUUCUCAAAACCAUAAAUAUUAUGCAGAGUACAGAGCAAAACUUGUUAUAUUGAUGUACAUGAAGUCCAAAUAAAAAUAAUCUUGUUUACACUGUAA